This 305-nucleotide ribosomal RNA is filed under the name uncultured bacterium. RNAcentral describes it as "bacterial SSU rRNA". It matches the Rfam family "Bacterial small subunit ribosomal RNA", at positions 337 to 642 of the family's 1533-position model. The record is from RNAcentral.
UCCUACGGGAGGCAGCAGUGGGGAAUAUUGCACAAUGGGGGAAACCCUGAUGCAGCGACGCCGCGUGAGUGAAGAAGUAUUUCGGUACGUAAAGCUCUAUCAGCAGGGAAGAAAAAAAGUCCUUUGGACUUUGGACGGUACCUGACUAAGAAGCCCCGGCUAACUACGUGCCAGCAGCCGCGGUAAUACGUAGGGGGCAAGCGUUAUCCGGAUUUACUGGGUGUAAAGGGAGCGUAGACGGCUGUGCAAGUCUGAAGUGAAAGCCCAGGGCUCAACCCUGGGACUGCCUUGGAAACUGUGGAGCG